UGCGUAGGUGGUUUCUUAAGUCAGAGGUGAAAGGCUACGGCUCAACCGUAGUAAGCCUUUGAAACUGGGAAACUUGAGUGCAGGAGAGGAGAGUGGAAUUCCUAGUGUAGCGGUGAAAUGCGUAGAUAUUAGGAGGAACACCAGUUGCGAAGGCGGCUCUCUGGACUGUAACUGACACUGAGGCACGAAAGCAUGGGGAGGCAAACA
Molecule: ribosomal RNA, 207 nt
Filed under: uncultured bacterium
Lineage: Bacteria
Description: partial 16S ribosomal RNA
Rfam family: Bacterial small subunit ribosomal RNA
Source: RNAcentral